RNAcentral lists this transfer RNA (73 nucleotides) under Zingiber officinale. It matches the Rfam family "tRNA". Rfam says of the family: Transfer RNA (tRNA) molecules are approximately 80 nucleotides in length. Their secondary structure includes four short double-helical elements and three loops (D, anti-codon, and T loops). Further hydrogen bonds mediate the characteristic L-shaped molecular structure. tRNAs have two regions of fundamental functional importance: the anti-codon, which is responsible for specific mRNA codon recognition, and the 3' end, to which the tRNAs corresponding amino acid is attached (by aminoacyl-tRNA synthetases). tRNAs cope with the degeneracy of the genetic code in two manners: having more than one tRNA (with a specific anti-codon) for a particular amino acid; and 'wobble' base-pairing, i.e. permitting non-standard base-pairing at the 3rd anti-codon position. Lineage: Eukaryota; Viridiplantae; Streptophyta; Magnoliopsida; Zingiberales; Zingiberaceae. The record is from Rfam by way of RNAcentral.
GCGGGGAUAGCUCAGUUGGGAGAGCGUCAGACUGAAGAUCUGAAGGUUGCGUGUUCGAUCCUUGCUCAACGCA